This is an RNA transcript of Gopherus flavomarginatus (Mexican gopher tortoise), 5888 nucleotides long. It is a transcript of the gene named zinc finger MYND-type containing 10, with no coding region annotated. NCBI's taxonomy places the organism in Eukaryota, Metazoa, Chordata, Testudines, Testudinidae. The record is from RefSeq and is a predicted model, not a curated record. The transcript is spliced from 13 exons.
AUGGCGGAGGUGGCCGCGGUGCUGCUGCCGGGGGAGGCCGAGGCCUUGGUGCAGGCGCUGCGGAGCGGCCCGCUGCGGAACACCGGGGACCGCGGAUGGCUCCGGCAGCAUGAGGCCAUCGAGAAGCUGAACAUGCAGGCCAUUCUGAGCGCCUCUUCCGGGCAGGAACAGCUCCUCAUUGAGCUGCUGGUGAACUAUGCCAAGAUCCCUACUCUGAUCGAGGAAUUGAUCUCUGUGGAGAUCUGGAAGCACAAGGUGUUCCCUGUGCUGUGCCAGCUGGAGGAUUUCAAGCCAAAAAGCACCUUUCCCAUCUACUUGGUGCUGUACCAUGAAGCUUCUAUUGUCAACCUCCUGGAGACAGUGUUUUUUCACAAGGAGAUCUGCGAAUCAGCUGAGGACACCAUUCUGGACUUGAUUGAUUAUAGCUACCGGAAACUGACCCUGCUAGCAGCUUGGAGCACCAACAGGGAGUUUCCAACCCACGAAAAGCUUGUGCCUGAGGAUCUGACCAAUGCAUCAUCAAUGCAGGAACUACAGAAGCAGGCAGAGAUGAUGGAGUUUAAGAUCUCCCUGAGGGCUCUUUCUGUGCUCCGUUUCAUCACUGAUCAGGUAGACAGUUUGCCACUGAGUGCCCUGACACGGAUGCUGAACACUCAUAAUGUGCCCUGCCUCCUGAUAGAGCUCCUGGAGCAUUGUCCAUGGAGCUGCUGCGAAGCAGGCAAGCUAAAAAAGUUUGAGAAUGGAAUGUGGCAUGUGGUGCCUCCUGAAGACCAUGUGAAGAUGACCAAGCUGGAUGGGCAGGUGUGGAUUGCCCUUUAUAACCUCCUCCUGAGCCCAGAAUGCCAGCGGAAAUACAACUUGGACGGUUUCAACAAGAGCCAGCUCCUAAAGCUCCGUGCAUUCCUGACUGAUGUCCUCAUUGACCAGUUGCCAAAUCUGGUGGAGAUGCAGAGAUUUCUGAGCCACCUCGCAGUGACAGAGCCUGUUCCACCCAAAAAGGACCUCAUCCUGGAGCAGGUUCCUGUCAUCAGGGACCGCAUUAUCAGAGAGAAUUCUGGGAAGUGGCAGGCGAUCGCCAAGCACCAGGUGAAGCACAUGUUCAGCCCCUCAGAGGACGAGUUGAAAGACCUGGCGUGCCGGUGGGCACAGACAUACAACCUGGAUGUGAUGGAGGCUCUCGUCCCAGAGAAACCCAAGUGCGGGCUGUGCGGCUCUGAGGCAACAAAGCGCUGCUCUCGCUGCCAGAACGAGUGGUACUGCAAACGGGAGUGCCAGGUGCAGCACUGGCAGAAGCACAAGAAAGCUUGCAACCUAAUGGCUGAUGCCCUGAAGAAAAUAAAAGAGGACCUGAAAGUGCAGCCGUAAUGCAGAGCCAGAGCCUUCCAAAGAGGGACUUCUCCUCCCAGGCAUUCCAGCAAUCCGAGAGCAAAGGGUCGCCAGUUAGAACUAGAGACGGACAACCCCUUGUUCAUCUAACCUGGGCCCAGUGCACCACUUCUGCCUGCCUCCUGUGUAACUGUGCAUGCUGUGGUAGUGCAUGGGCUGCUCCAGAUCCCAGCCUUGCAGUCACAGACAGUCGGCCUAGAUCCGCUACCAUGGGAUCAUGCUCAGCUCAGCGGGAGGCAGCAGCCACUGGCCAGCACAACUGCUGAGAUUGGGAGCCUUGGUUCUCUCAGACCCCAUUCUGUCUCCUAGUUUCUGAACUCUUCCUUGCUUGAGAACAGGCUGCUGCUGACCUCAGGGACUCAUUUAUGCUAAGUAGCUUUCUCCGUGCUGCCACCUAUGACUCAGAAGCAGCUUGUGUUACUGGGCAUCCUACCUGAAGCAGGCACCAUCUGCUGUCAUGCAGCAUGGCAGUGAGCGCAGAUCUCGCCGCUCUGCGGCAGAGCACAAUGGCAGCUGACAAGUUUGAAACUAACCACUGAUUGCUGCUCUCACUACCUGCUGCUGGGAAUGUACCAUGGGCCUUAAGAAAAAAACAUUUUCUGCUCCCAGGGCACAGGCCAGCAAUAGCCGCACUGGGCUUAGACCCUCUUCUGCUGUGACUCCCACCUUCCCCCCCCCUUACAAUUUGUUCUCCAGUAAAUGGGUUGAACCACUAACCAUCUUGUUCUCACUCAUCUCCAUUCUGAAACAGUCUGCAGCAGCCACCCUAGAGAUGACAAAGCCACUUCCUCACUUAUUUCCUGCAUUGUCCUACUGGGGAGGAUUUUAUAAACCCCAUCUCUGCUGGUAAUGAGUUUACAAGGUCUCUGCUGAUGCUCAGAUGCCAGUCAGGGCCAUACAGGCAGGGAUGGAAUUGCCCAGAAGGUGACAUCUUCUGUGCCUUCCUUAUCUGGGUGCUCAGUUCUAUAACAUCCUUGCACGGGCCUUGCCGUGUAGGCUGGGGGAGGGGCAGGGAAAAGGAUGUGGUUAGGACAAGUGCUUUAAUUUUCAGAGGCUCAUUGUUUCACGGUUGAGAGCAUAAUGCGGUGUCUUGGUGGCUACCGAGGGACUUGCCUCUUGCUCUGGGGUUUUCUCUUUUCUCUGCAGUGUAGUGAGAAAUGAAAUUAACAAUCAGCCCCAUCCAGAAAGCAGUGCAAGUCAUGCUCCUUGUGUAAGCCCUGGUCAUCCAAAGUCGUGUUCUGGUCAGAAUGCCAAGGAUCAGUCCCCAUGCAGCUCGUCUCCAGUCACGUUUGACAUUGAUCUCUUCCCCACCCCCCCCAUGUUGAACAUCCUGCAGCUAAGUUCAUCAGUAACUUCCCCAGUUGUUUGGGACAUGCUAUGAGGUGUGCUGGCUCCCCCAGUGUUUGCCUCCAAUGAGCCUGAAUCCUGCCAGCUCAAUCCUGUUAAUGACCAUGUAUGUGAAUGCAGCAUAGUUAUAGCUGUGUUGGUUCCAGGGUAUGAGAGAGACAAGGUGGAUGAGGUAGUAUCUUUUAUUGAACCCACUUCUGUUGGUGAGACGGACAAACUUUUGAGUUACACAGUGCUCUUCUUCAGGCCUGGGAAAGGUACUCACAGCAAAAUGCAAAGUGGAACAGAUUUUUAGUGUCUAGCAGAACUUAAAUUCAAUACUCUGCUAGACACUAAAAAUCAUGGACUGAACGGAGACUGGAUGUAUGGUUUGUUUCAACAAUCUGUAACCCACUAACCCCCUCUUUUAAUCCUAUGGCUGCUGUUAACAGACCACUUCACCUUGAAUGGUCCCUUACAGUAUGUGCUAACUAUUUACGCUAAACAAUCUUGUGCUCAUACACCUUGUCUCUCUAAUGACCAGAUGGACAGUUACAAUAAAUAGUCCUGCAAGCGCUGUCCCAUAGCAUCGUGUAUCCGCAAAAGUGGCCUCUCUGGCUGUCUCUCUAACUUUUGCUGACUCCCAGGUCAUCUGCCCAGAAGCCACGGGCUUGUAUAAAUAUGCCUCCAGAAAAGGGGAGAGGGCUGCUUGUGCUAGAUUAGUUUGAUGUUAGAGAUGGGUCUGAGCUAGUCCAAUCAGGAGCGAGCCUUAUCCAAACACUCAAAAUGUUAGAUGCUGCUGUUUGCCUCCACCCAUGAUAAGUAAAGCAGUGAAGUUUGGAUCCAGCUCUGAACUCUUCUGAAGGCUAUCCUGUUCUCACCUGAACUUUCAACUCAGUCUCCUCUCGAUCUGAUGCAUUAGAAAAAGAGGCUAACCAAUCCCCAGGGUUCAAAAACUGUGAGUUAGGCCCCCAAAAUCAUGAGAUUGUCUUAAAAAACAAGAUUUUAAAAAAUAACCAGUGCUGGUCUUCAGUUUUUUCACCCUUUAGUGACCAUAUUAUCAAGGUUUUCUCCACAACCACAAAGGCUAGAAGCAUACUUCUCUUUUAAGUGUGAGCUGAGAUGCUCCAUUAAUCAUGUGACUCCAGGAGCUGGGGCUUUAAGAAAAUCACCAAGUGUCUUGAGACUCACGAUAAAAUCUCAAGUGUCAGCAAUCAUGGAACAAGUGAAGUGAAUGGAAAAUACCACAAGUAUGUGCAAAAACUAGGUAAUGGAAGUGGGGCUGGAAAGUCAAACUCCUGGAAAUGUUCUUUGGGGGCGUUUGAGGCCCAUGUCACCUGUGUCUGGAUGCGGCUCUGGGGCAGAUGCUAGUUUAGACAGAGAUGUUUGUUGAUCUGAAGAGCCGGGCAGAAGGAUCCAGCCUGCAACUUCAGAGAGCAGUUUUGCCUUUGUGGAUGUUAGAUUCAGCAUUUUCUUUAAUCUUUCCUUGUAGAUAAGCAUGAAUGUAAACAUGAGCAUGCUGCGCCAGGCCCGCCUGGAGGGACAGGACUAUCUUAUCACAGGCUCUCCCAGUUUCCCAAACUUCAGAUUUUCCUCUUCCUUCAACCCUCUCUCAGCCCCCUUCUGGCAUCUCAACUGGCCCUGGGUUUUCCCCAGUCCUAUCCUGGAGGAAGGAUCAGCAGAACUACAUUGAAAAUGGUCACCAAGGAAGGAAAGAAGGGGCAGCUGAGCUACAGGCCACAGGAGAAGGAUGUUCCUGCAGUAUCAUCUCGAUCCUUUUGAGUGGGGUGGACUGGGCUGCCUUGGCCAGCACUGGAAUGGAAAGCUGUGUGCUGCCAUGUGACAGUCCAGCGUUUUGGAUUAAUGCACACAGCUGGUACUGCUGGACAUUGCAUGGUAACUUCUGUCAGUAUCGCCAUGGCCUCUGCUAAAAAGCUGCCUCCUCACUCAUGACUUAGAGAUCCACAGUUGGGACCUGGCCCUGCCUCCCCUACAGGAACUGGAUGCUACUGAGGCACACCUCUCCCCUGAGCCCAGCUGUGGAAGAACAGCACAGAACCCACUAUGCCCAGUUAGAGCACUGGCCUUUUCUGCCAUAGGUCUGGUGUUUUGAAGUCAGCUUGGCUGGGAAUGGUGGAUGUUCAGCACCUCUCAGGAUCAGGCCCCAGCUGCCAUUCAUGCUUUGCAUCACCCUCCUAGCUGUGAGCGGAACUCAGGGGGGCUGGUUUGCCCCAUAGAAAACAGAUAGCGCCUUGGCUGGCCUUGCUGCACCCUCUGUAGGAGGAUGAGAAAGCAGCUGAUGAAUAGCACUUGUAGGUGAGGGAGCUGGUUUCAUGUGAUGUAUUUAAAUGGCUGCCUUGGGCUAGAAGGAUAAAUGAUUGGGGCUAUCAGUCCUCAUGCUUCAGGACACAAGCUGAUCUGAGCGGAGGGGUAAGGCAGGAACUGCUUCCCCCUUUUCCAGUGCUAUGGAAUUACAGGAUCAGGCCCUAUUUACACAGAGCAUAAAACUCUAUUGAGAGAACCAGGGAUCAACAUAGCUAAAAUACGGGCUUUGCUGGUGUGAUUUGCCUGUGGGAUGUGAGCUGGCCAGAACAGCCUGAAACCCAUGUCAUAGGUAGGGAGCAAGUCUAGGGGACACUCAAGCCAAUUCUGAUCCUAUUUACACAAGUAUAAAUCUAGAGUCAGCCUACUGUAAUAGUGGAGUGACUCCAGAUUUACACUGGACAAAGAAUACCACUGAUUCCCAGGGACUGACUGUAUUUACACUAGUGCUAGAAUCUGGAGUAAUGUGUUUAAAUGUUUAGUGUUGCAGCUAACACUCUUUUAUCCCCUUUGUCAGCCCUGCAUGGGGGUUUUUGAUACCUCAGGUUAGUACUGUAGAGCUUGAAGUCUGGUCACAGGGAAAUAAUCUUUCCAAGGCCUGGAUGUACCAGGCCAAGAACACAUGGAGAGAGAGGGAAAUUGCCUUUUAUUCUUGUUCUUCCCGAACUGGAGCUGACUUUUAAACUCCUCCUAAACAUUAACCUUUCCCUGGGACUCUUUCCCCAGAAAUGGCUCUUCCUGGGAGCGAUUUUAGACUCUCGCUGGGAUAUUUUUUGAACUCUUAAUUUCUAUUUUAGUGCCAGCAAGAACCCACAACUAGUGCCCCUGGGACGCUUUCCUCUGGUUUGCCUGAG